RNAcentral lists this ribosomal RNA (640 nucleotides) under uncultured Thiobacillus sp. RNAcentral describes it as "bacterial SSU rRNA". It matches the Rfam family "Bacterial small subunit ribosomal RNA", at positions 765 to 1408 of the family's 1533-position model. The record is from RNAcentral. Lineage: Bacteria; Pseudomonadati; Pseudomonadota; Betaproteobacteria; Nitrosomonadales; Thiobacillaceae.
GGAGCAAACAGGAUUAGAUACCCUGGUAGUCCACGCCCUAAACGAUGUCAACUGGUUGUUGGGGGAGUGAAAUCCCUUAGUAACGAAGCUAACGCGUGAAGUUGACCGCCUGGGGAGUACGGUCGCAAGAUUAAAACUCAAAGGAAUUGACGGGGACCCGCACAAGCGGUGGAUGAUGUGGAUUAAUUCGAUGCAACGCGAAAAACCUUACCUACCCUUGACAUGUCCGGAAUCCUGCAGAGAUGCGGGAGUGCCCGAAAGGGAAUCGGAACACAGGUGCUGCAUGGCUGUCGUCAGCUCGUGUCGUGAGAUGUUGGGUUAAGUCCCGCAACGAGCGCAACCCUUAUCAUUAGUUGCUACGCAAGGGCACUCUAAUGAGACUGCCGGUGACAAACCGGAGGAAGGUGGGGAUGACGUCAAGUCCUCAUGGCCCUUAUGGGUAGGGCUUCACACGUCAUACAAUGGUCGGUACAGAGGGUUGCCAAGCCGCGAGGUGGAGCCAAUCCCAGAAAGCCGAUCGUAGUCCGGAUUGUUCUCUGCAACUCGAGAGCAUGAAGUCGGAAUCGCUAGUAAUCGCGGAUCAGCAUGUCGCGGUGAAUACGUUCCCGGGUCUUGUACACACCGCCCGUCACACACCAUA